Molecule: ribosomal RNA, 373 nt
Filed under: uncultured organism
Description: bacterial SSU rRNA
Rfam family: Bacterial small subunit ribosomal RNA
Source: RNAcentral
CGUAGGGUGCGAGCGUUGUCCGGAAUUAUUGGGCGUAAAGAGCUCGUAGGCGGUUUGUUGCGUCGGCCGUGAAAACUUCACGCUUAACGUGGAGCUUGCGGUCGAUACGGGCAGACUUGAGUUCGGUAGGGGAGACUGGAAUUCCUGGUGUAGCGGUGAAAUGCGCAGAUGUCAGGAGGAACACCGGUGGCGAAGGCGGGUCUCUGGGCCGAUACUGACGCUGAGGAGCGAAAGCGUGGGGAGCGAACAGGAUUAGAUACCCUGGUAGUCCACGCCGUAAACGUUGGGCGCUAGGUGUGGGGCUCUUUCCACGGGUUCCGUGCCGUAGCUAACGCAUUAAGCGCCCCGCCUGGGGAGUACGGCCGCAAGGCUA